CAGGCGGGCAAGGUGAUCGCGCCGGUGCGUUAUGUGCCGGUGAGGAAAGUCCGCACUCCACAGGGCACGGUGCUAGCUAACAGCUAGGCGGAGCGAUCCGACGGCAAGUGCAACAGAGAGCAGAUUGCGUCCGGCAACGUCCGGGCGUGAGGGUGAAACGGUGGUGUAAGAGACCACCAGCGUCGGUGGUGACAUCGGCGGCUAGGCAAACCCCACCGGGAGCAAGGCCAAGCAGAUGCGAUGGUGUCGCCCGCACCGCAUCGGGUAGGCCGCUUGAGGCGUCAGGUGACUGGCGUCCUAGAUAGAUGAUCGCCACCCGCCGCGCGCGGGUACAGAAUGCGGCUUAUGCGCCCGCCUGACCG
Molecule: RNase P RNA, 362 nt
Filed under: Anaerolineaceae bacterium
Lineage: Bacteria; Bacillati; Chloroflexota; Anaerolineae; Anaerolineales; Anaerolineaceae
Description: RNase P RNA component class A
Rfam family: Bacterial RNase P class A
About the family: Ribonuclease P (RNase P) is a ubiquitous endoribonuclease, found in archaea, bacteria and eukarya as well as chloroplasts and mitochondria. Its best characterised activity is the generation of mature 5'-ends of tRNAs by cleaving the 5'-leader elements of precursor-tRNAs.
Source: RNAcentral